RNAcentral lists this ribosomal RNA (245 nucleotides) under uncultured bacterium. Its description in RNAcentral is "partial 16S ribosomal RNA". It matches the Rfam family "Bacterial small subunit ribosomal RNA", at positions 111 to 354 of the family's 1533-position model. The record is from RNAcentral.
UAACACGUGAGCAACCUGCCUUUCAGAGGGGGAUAACAGUUGGAAACGACUGCUAAUACCGCAUAACGCUGCGAUGGGGCAUCCCGAUGCAGCCAAAGGAGCAAUCCGCUGGAAGAUGGGCUCGCGGCCGAUUAGCUAGUUGGUGGGGCAACGGCCCACCAAGGCGACGAUCGGUAGCCGGACUGAGAGGUUGAUCGGCCACAUUGGGACUGAGACACGGCCCAGACUCCUACGGGAGGCAGCAG